Molecule: ribosomal RNA, 499 nt
Filed under: uncultured bacterium
Lineage: Bacteria
Description: partial 16S ribosomal RNA
Rfam family: Bacterial small subunit ribosomal RNA
Source: RNAcentral
GACGAACGCUGGCGGCGUGCCUAAUACAUGCAAGUCGAACGAAGUCUUUCUGGUGCUUGCCCCUGAAAAACUUAGCGGCGCACGCGUGAGUAACACGUAAAGAACCUUCCUCAUUGACUGGGACUACCAUUGGAAACGUUACCCUAUACCGGAUAACAGCCUUAACUGCAUGGCUGAUGUUUUAAAGUUGUUUUUGCUAACACUAUGAGAUUGCUUUGUGGUGCAUUAGCUAGUUGGCGGGGUAAAGGCCUACCAAGGCGACGAUGCAUAGCCGACCUGAGAGGAUGAUCAGCCACACUGGAACUGAGACACGGUCCAGACUCCUACGGGAGGCAGCAGUAGGGAAUAUUGCACAAUGGGCGAAAGCCCGACGGAGCAACGCCGCGUGAGUGAAGAAGGAUUUCGGGUCGUAAAGCUCUGUUGUUAGGGAAGAAUGAUAGUAUGGUAAUACCACGCAGUAGAGACGGUACCUAAACAAAAAGCAACGGCUAACUACGUG